UUCAAAAAACAGGGGAAAAGAAAAAGGAGAAAAUUUUCUCCUUGUGAAUUUAAAACAACCGUUGUACUCUAAAAGCUUAAGCUGUUAGAGAACGGUAUUUUAAACAUUUUUAUAUUUAACACUUUCCCUCCUUACAUCUGGGCUCGAGACUUUUUUUGUCGGCCCAUGACGUGAGCUUGAAUUAAAUGGGAGGAAAUUAAUAUGCUAGGAGCCUGGCAUGACUCGAACUCAGAACCUGCUGCUCUGAUAUCAUGUAAAACAACCAUUGUACUCUAAAAGCUUAAGCUGUUAGAGAACGGUGUUUUAAACAUUUUUAUAUUUAACAGUGAACCCUAAAAUCCAAAAAUUUCCUCAUCUCAU
This 360-nucleotide long non-coding RNA is filed under the name Ananas comosus (pineapple). RNAcentral describes it as "long non-coding RNA (ACOM_LNC004712)". The record is from RNAcentral. Lineage: Eukaryota; Viridiplantae; Streptophyta; Magnoliopsida; Poales; Bromeliaceae.